UAAAAGGGCAGUAGUUCCUGCAAUAUAUUCCUAUAUUAAAGGUAGAACUAACAGCUUCCUUUCUAAGCAGAAAUGUUGUAUCUUGUAAUAACAACGUUUCUUGUCAGUUUUUAUUUAUGGAACAGUGCUGUUUAAAGUACUAGCCACACUUUUGAAAAAUAAACUAAAAUACUGAAGUAUUUUAUAAAAUGCCUUCAUUUUCCCUAAAGAGAUGCAAAAUGGAAUGAAAAUCUCCCUGAGAGCUGUCUAGAGAUGAUGGUCACAAAAAUAAAGGAAGCUGAAGAAACCUCCUUUGCCAGCUUCUCUCUUCAGAUUUUUGAUCUACCUGAUGGAUGUUCCAACAGUAUCUGUUUGUGGACAGUUAACAUUUUUUUUCUGUUAAAAGAAUAGUAGAGACGGUGUAGAAAAAAAUGAGUAAUGAAAAGUGUUAUAGGUUGAUGAUGUGUUUGGAGAAUUGUAUGCAAGAACUUACUAUUGACAGAGAAAAACAAAACCAAACCAAAUUGGAAGCCAAGUGUCUGAGAUGAUUCUGGGUUAGGACAGGAGCAGCCUGGCUUGGUCUCCAGGUUUUUCUGGUAGCCUCAGUGGUGACAGCUUUCAGUGUGGUCAGCCUCAGGAUCACGUGAGUCGUUAUUAUGUUUUUUUCCUUAACCCCAGAAACCAUGCCGUAAGUCAAAAUUUAGACAGUUUAGCUGUUUUCAUUUUGCUUUCAAUCUAGUCGUUUUCUGUUUUUAAUUCUGUGCCUGGAAAAACUUGAAAAAGGCCAUGAGUCAUGACAACUGUUUCCUUUUCCUCCAAAUAGAAGCCUUAGCAGCUGAGCGGUUUUCAGUGGGGACCCUUUAAGGGAACGUUUGGGAGAAAUACGUAUCCGGGGGUUCUCCCAAAGUGUGGUACCCAGACCAGCAGUGGCAGCAUCCCCUGGAAAUCUGUUAGAAGUGCCCACUGUCAGGCACCACUCCAGAUGUGAUUGAAUCAGAGGCUCUGGGGAAGGAAGUCUGUGUUUUAACCAGACAUCUAGAUGGUUCUGAGCAACACUCAAGUCCGAGAACCACUGUGUUAGUGAAUUGUUAGUAGUUAUGGCUAUUGAGAGUGUGAAAAAUAUAGUGGUUGGAAGGUGGGCAUGUUUAUGAGUCUUUGCUUGUGAGGAGAUGAAUCAUAGAGAGAAAAGAACGCUUUAACUUUUGGAAUUCAAAAAAGAAAAAGAAAGCCUGGAAUGUAAUUAGCAGGACUAAUUGCUUGCAUGAAACUUUGCUCUCUCAGAGAACAGCGAUCCAGAUGACUAGGUUACUGUGAAAUAUAGUGGCAUGGUUUUGAAGUUCUAGAAGAAUCUCUCUAGUGAGAAAAGGCAUGCCUUUCCAUAUUAGGACAUAAAUUCAACUCAGUUUGGUAGAAUCCUAUAAGAUUCUUGUAUCCCAGUGACUUGGCCAGCUCCUUUACUUCUUGAGGCCCUACUUUCUACAUCUGAAAACCAUAUGCUUCAUUCGUUGCCAUGAAUUAUCUCAUUGGAAUGAAGUGAGGGAUUCAUUAUAUGGAAGAGGAUUUGUGAGGCAUCUUGAUUACUGAAAAAUGCAAACCAUAAGGAUCAAGAGUGAUUCAUAUAAAUCUUGAUGCAACUAUGAGUUGAUACGUCAACUUCCCCUUGAUAUGUGCUCCCCCUUUUAAUUAUUUAUUUAUUUUGGCUGCACCGGGUCUUAGUUGCCGUGUACAGGAUCUAGUUCCCCGAUCAGGGAUCGAACCCAGGCCCCCUGCAUUGUGAGCUCGAGUCUUCCCCACUGGACCACGAGGGAGGUCCCUGUUCUGUGCUCCCUUUAGUCUUGACUCUCAUGUAUUCAUUUUUGGUGUUAAACAAAUCACAGUUUUUAAAAGCUUUAAUCUUCAUUUCCUCAUGGAAAACUUAGUAUUCAUGAUACCUACUCCCAGGAUUGUUGUGAGAAGAAAAUUAGAUUAAAAUAGGAAAAGGCAGUUUUAAAGCUGAAACAUUACAAAUUUUAGGUAUUGUUGUUUUGAUUGUAGUUAUUUCAUGUCCAGAUUGAGAAAGCUUUGUGAUUGUUGACAUAAUGAUAUCAUCCAGGAGUUUGGAAUAAGUGUGUACAUCAGCGGAUUUUAUGAUUACAAAAAAUAGCUAUGUUUACUUUUCUACUAAUUCUCCUUCAGUGGAAUGUUCCCAUUUUCUCAUGAAGUGGGGGGAGAUCCACAUAUGUUUAUUAAAGAAAGCAAGCCUCGUAUUUUUUAUCCUUUGAACCGAGAGGCUACAUGUUAUUCAUUGUUUUCGAGUCAGGCUACCUGGGUAAAUUCCCAAUCCUCUACCUACUUGCAACCAUGGAUAAACCUCAGUUUCCUCAUAUGUAAAAUAGGGGUGGUAAUAAUACAGAUUCGUAUGAAGAUGAAAUGGGAAAUGUAUGUAUAGAAUACAUAGCAGAGUGCCUGGCGCAGAGUAAGCAUUCAGUAAUGUGGGCUGUUGCUGUGACUAUCAUUAUUAAACUGCAGCAUGAAGAAGAGGCAAAAAGGUUGUGUGUGAAAGUCAAGGGCAGGAGGGAAUAAAAAGACAAGGGGGACAGCUUUGAAAAUGGUCUGAUCAUCCUGCAAAUGACAAUCCAAGCAAUUCCCACGACUUUUGAAAAUCAAAGACUUCCCUGUUGCUUCCAAUGAGAAAAUGAACCAUAGUCAUUUGUAAUGUCCAUGUUCCUGUAACAAUCAAAAUCACAGUCUUGCUUGAAAGUUACAUGUCUUCCCUUUCCCAGCAUGAGCACGCAGAAGGCAAAGAGCUGUAGGAAAUGGGAGUCCUCGCCUCUCUCUCUCUCUCUCUCUCCCUCUCCCUCCUUCCCUUUCCCUCUCCUUCUCCCCCCACCCCUCUCUCUCUGAAGUGCUCCUACUUCUUCUCUAUCUUGGUAACUGAAGUUUCUUGCUGCUCUAGGGUUAGAGCUCAUAGCAGAGAAAAGGUUGGGGAGAUAAGAAAGUUCUUACUUGACAAGGACUGUUGAUGAUCCAGUACUUAAAACUGGCCCUCUCCAUUUGGUCUGUGUUUAAAACUGGCCCUUCUUCUAGCAGGUGCUUCUUUGUUUCCCAGAGCUCCCUUGACCUGCAGAAGUGCAUUUGUAUUUGGUCAUCCACAGUCUCAAGGAGUCAUUCUGAAGUACACCCCUUGCUGCUUUUUGCUCUGAUACCUACUUUCCAGUGGAUGAUCCUGAACAGGAUCUAAGACAGCUAGCGCUAUCUUGCAUAGAUCAGAUCUGGUCCAAGGGAAAAAGUUUACCUUCAAAAGCUCAGAGGGUAAUGAGGAUACAAUUUUCAAUCCCUGGGUAGCCCUUUGAAGCUCUUUGCCUUACACUUGCGGUAAGCAAACAACCCCAUAGAUCUUCUGGUCAGAUUCACACAGCAUGCUGGCAACUUGCUCCCAAAACCUUCAUCUUCAAAGAUCUCCAACUCUUUUUGCCUCUGACAUGGAUAAAUGGUUAUAAGAGUUACAUAACCUUCCUGGCAUGUUUCCUUUGAAAAUGUUGCUUUAUACCGUUGUAUUUCCCUUUGGAAUGUGGUGUAUAGUGUUCAGUACUUGAGUCAAAACUUGCACUUUAAUUCAAGGUAAAAGGGGGAGAGGACCGCUUUGGGGAUGCUUUGAUUUCACAGACCAUCACCCCAAAGUUGGUGGUGCUGCAGAGGAAAAGAUGGUUUACACAUGCAGGUGUUAUUGGGAGCCUCAUGAAUGCCCACCCUAAUCACAAAGUAAAGAUGGAAACGUAUAACUUUUUAAAAUGUGAAAACACACAUCAAUAAAUGUGUACAGAUAUAUACAACUCUGAGCUCAUGCCAGAAAUGUGUGUGACUGCCUUGUGAUAGUUCUGGAGCGGGUGAUGUGCUCCAAAGAGAUGAAAAUACCUGGAAAGAUUUUGUGGACCACUCAACUCUGAGCCAACUUGAGGAUAUGGAGGCAAGAGUCCAAAAGGAAAAGAGAGAGAGAGAGAGAGAGAGAGAUGGAUUCUUCUAAAUUUUGUGCAACACCCAUGUAAAUAGGAGCUAGCAUUUAAACACAUAGCAUGGUGCACCAAGGUUGGUGAAAAGACGGUGUACCGGUAGGUCUGAAAAUGGGGGAAGUGUGUAAUAAGUGCUACAUUAGAUGAAGCAAGGUUUAAAAGGGUGUUACUGAAUUGGAAGCAUCAAAAUGGACUUAUGACUUUAAAAAGCCCCCCUCUAAAGCUGAAAGAGUAGAAGCGGUCCCUGGUAUCACACUACCUACAGCCACAAGGUAUGUGGGAAAAUCUAAUAUGUCCUCUAGGCGCUGGGUUUUGAUGUCUUCUGCUCUUCUCACGGAAAGGAACUCAGAGGAUAACUGGUACCAGAUCUUGGGAAAAUAUUGAAAGGAGCUAAGAAUGGGAAGGCAUAGCUAAGAAAUGUUUGCCAAAGAAGAGGAAUUGUGAUACUUCCUACCAGAUGUGAGAAUGUAUUAUGAAGCUUGAGUAAUUAAAAGUGUGGUUCCCCAGCAGACUUUUCCAAGAAGGGAUACGCCACCCCAAUGCAGAUCACACUAAAUUAGAACAUAGUGUGUAGAACCGGAAGUAUUAAAAACCAAUGUGAAAGGGGAAACUAGAUUUUUAGAGGAAAGUUGGGUUAAAAACCUCACCUCGCAUACUAUAUCAAAAUACAUUUUAAAGCUGAAACAUAAGGGAAAGAAGAACAUGGAGGUGAAUUUAGCUUAUUUUUUUCUAAGUAAAGGACUCUCUAAGCCUAAAAAGAUACAGGGUAAGUCACAAAGGAAAAAUAUGUGUAUUUGGCUGCAGAAAAUUAAGUACUUUUGUGUCAUAAGAUAUUAUCAACCAAAUUAAAUGGAAAAUGUGGAACUGGGAAGUGUUUUUGCAAUACAUGUGGCUGAUAGCUUUAGAACUAACAACAAAAAUCACAUUUGUGAUAAUUCAAUAAGAAACACAUAUUAACCCAGUAGAAAAAGGACAAAUGUCACAAAUAAUUGACAAAAGAAAAAAUUACAGGUGACUAAUAAACAUAUACUUAACCCUAAACGUAUAAAAAUUUAGGUUUUUAUGUUAAUCAAAAAAAGGGAAAAUAAAAAGGCCCUACUCAUUUGUGACCUACGAGAUUGACAAAGGUUACAAAUGGCAACACUUCGUAAGGAUACAGCAGGAGAGCAUUCCAGCCACUGCUGAUGGGAAUAAGGGCUCUGCAGUCUUUUUUGAAGAUGACUUUUGACCAUCUGCAUAAAGGACUUAGGUCAUAAUUAUAAACUUUUUACCCAGUAACCCCAUAUUAGACUCGAUCUGGUAAACAUAAUAAGAGAAUAUUUGAAUAUUAAUAUGCAAGAAUAUACAUUACACUCACUAUUGAUGUGAAAAACUAAAACCUCUUAAGUGUUCAAUACUGAGAGAACAGAAAAAUAAAUUAUUGUUUAUGUACUUAUGUAUUGUUAAGGCAAGAAAGAUGUUCAGUAAAGUGUUAAAACUGGUUGUGUUUUAGGGGUAAGGAUGGAAUCAAGUUUUAUAGAAGGAUGUAUCUUUUUUCCUUUUUAUACUUUUGUAAUUUGUUUUACCUCUCAAAAUUAGUGUGUAUUAUUUCUAAAAUUUCUAAAAUUCAUAAAAAAUGUAUAUCUUUUUAUAUAUAUAAUGAAGUGCAGAAUUGGUAAUGAUAAAACGUUAGGUGAAAAAAAUCAGGGUAUAAAAUACAUAUGCGAGGGGCUUCCCUGGUGGUGCGGUGGUUAAGAAUCUGCCUGCCAAUGCAGGGCACACGGGUUCGAGCCCUGGUCUGGGAAGAUCCCACAUGCCGCGGAGCAACUAAGCCCGUGCGCCACAACUACUGAGCCCGCGUGCUACAAUUACUGAAGCCUGUGCGCCUAGAGCCCAUGCUCUGCAACACGAGAAACCACCACAAUGAGAAGCCCUCGCACCGCAACAAAGAGUAGCCCCUGCUCGCCUCAACUAGAGAAAGCACGUGUGCAGCAAUGAAGACCUAAUGUAGCCAAAAUAAAUAAAUAAAUUUUAAAAAUACAUAUGCAAUAAAAUUAUGAUUUUGGUAAAAUAUAAUUUGUGCAAAGACUAGCAGGAUAAACAUCAAAACAUCAGCCAUAGUUCUUUCCUUCUUUUUAUGUAUAUUUGCCUAUUUUCCCAAUUAUGCUUUAAAUAUUUUAUUUUAUUUAUUUAUUUAUUUUUGGCUGCGUUGGGUCUUCAUUGCUGCACGCGGCCUCUCUCUAGUUGGGGCGAGCAGGGGCUACUCUUCGUUGUGGUGCCCGUGCUUCUCAUUGCAGUGGCUUCUCUUGUUGUGGAGCACGCGCUCUAGGCAUGUGGGCUUCAGUAGUUGUGGCACAUGGGCUCAGUAGUUGGGCUCGUGGGCUCUAGAGCACAGGCUUAGUAGUUGUGGCGCACGGGCUUAGUUGCUCCGCGCCAUGUGGGAUCUUCCCAGACCUGGGCUCAAACCCGUGUCCCCUGCAUUGGCAGGCGGAUUCUUAACCUCUGUGCCACCAGGGAAGUCCCUCUCUGGGUAUUUCUAAUGUAUGUUUAUCAGGUCUCUUUCACUUUUGGUGAUAAACAAAAAUUUAUUUUCCAAAUAAUAAUGUCUCAUCUCUAGGGAACUAGUAUUUUGAUGAAACUGCAAUUUGAAGCUUUUGGAUUUUAAAGCUGUAAACUCUACAAGGAUAUAUAAAGACUGCUCUUUGUUGCAUUCUUUUCCCACCCUAUUCUAGGAUUUAAACCUAAAAUGAAUGGAGUAAAAAAAAGAUAUGACAUGUAGAUUCCAGACAUUCUUUCCUAACUAGAAUGAUUUUUAACUGCUAAUGUGAAUUUUUCCUCAAAAUAGGCCAACUCUCUUAUUUAUUACUUGAUGCCUUCCAGACUUUUUUUUUUAAAUACUCUUACUAUCGUCUAAUUUCUCUUCCUUUAAAAGUGUGCUUCUGUGAUUUGUAAAUUAAUCUGUUAACCCAGAGAAUAUUGUUUUAUGUGAUACUGAGCAAGUCAUGUGAAGUUUUCUCCUUUUUAUUCUUUGUAAUAAAGCAGAAUAUUAAAAAAGAAAAUCUGGGGCUUCCCUGGUGGCGCAGCGGUUGGGAGUCCGCCUGCCGAUGCAGGGGACGCGGGUUCGUGCCCCGGUCCGGGAAGAUCCCACAUGCUGCGGAGCGGCUGGGCCUGUGAACCAUGGCCGCUGAGCCUGCGCUUCCGGAGCCUGUGCUCUGCAACGGGAGAGGCCACAGCAGUGGGAGGCCCGCGAACCGCCAAAAAAAAAAAAAAAAAAAAGAAAAUCUGAUAGGUCUAAAAUAGAUUAGUAAGCAUUUUAAACAUUCAUAAAGUUCUUUGAAACUUAUAAGCCUAUAUUAUCAUGUAUUAUUGAUGUUAUCCUAUUAUUAAAACAUACUUUUGCCAUCUACUGAAAUAUAGUCUAUUUCAGUCAUUCCUAUUCUCUGAAUGACUAAACAUAGAACAAAUCCCUUUGGGACUUGUACUGUAUUUUAACUUAGCAGUAAUUACCUUAAAUGGAAAUGAAACACUAAUAGUCUUGAUCUGCAGGAAUCAGUUUAACUCUAGAAUGCAAGGGUUAAUGGCCUCUGGUGCAUCCCAAGUGUGAAUAGAAAGUUUGGGGGAUAAGUUGGGCUUGUGUUGUAUAAUAUUUAUGGACGUGACUUUGAAAGCUAGUAAAGUCAAUUUUAACCACUUUAAAUAAAUACGAAGUUGAUUUUUUCCCUUAUACAGUGAAUAAAUGUAGUAAGUGCAGUAUUAUGGGACUGUUACAUUUCAUUUAUUUUUAUCACUAUUGGAUCAUAUGAGAAUGAUUCUAAGUUCUGUCAUGCAUCUAAACCACUACCUAACUAGCAAGGGUAAAAUGAAAAAUCCUUGUAUAUGAUUCUUCUCUGGCUUUUAGUUUGUCAGUAUUGAUAAUUGUAGCAACUUUUGAAAAAAAGACUAUGAAGAAUAAUAAGGGCUUUUAUGGAGUGUGUGUGUGCAUGCAGGUGUGCCUGUGUAUGUCUUUCCCCUUUUCCUCUUCCUGAUACUUCUGGUUUGUGUGAUUUGGUUGUGCCUCAGACAGUUCUAGAUAUUCAGGUAAAUUACUAGGGAAAAGGAGCAAAGUAAUAACAGCUCUCAAAGGCAUUACAUUUUCAUCUCCUCUAUUCACUGAAGGCUGUAAUAGAAAACAAUGAAGACAUCUUGUUGGAUAAUAGGCAAACUAGUCUCCUGGUAAUAUAACUUUUUUGAAAACACACUAGGAAAAUAAUUCUCUCUAUGUAAUUGUUAGAAAAGAAUGGCUUAUACCUCACAUUAUAAUUUGUAGUUCAGCUGUUAACUGAACAAAGCUCAAACAGAACAAAGUGGAAGGAAAUCAGUGUCUAUUGUUCUAGGCAUAUUACUGAGUUUCUCUCUCUCUCUCUUUAUAUAUAUACAUAUAUAUAUACACUCACAUAUACAGAUAUGUAUAUAUGUACAAAUUAAUAAUCGACUGGAUACAGACGACUACCUUGCUAGCAAAUAUUACCCUUCUUUCAUAGAUAAAGUGAGUAUUAGAGUCAGGAUUCAUAUUAACCAAUUUAUUUA
This is a long non-coding RNA of Orcinus orca (killer whale), 8513 nucleotides long. RefSeq lists it as uncharacterized. The record is from RefSeq and is a predicted model, not a curated record. The transcript has 3 exons. NCBI's taxonomy places the organism in Eukaryota, Metazoa, Chordata, Mammalia, Artiodactyla, Delphinidae.